AGAGUUUGAUCCUGGCUCAGGAUGAACGCUGGCGGCGUGCUUAACACAUGCAAGUCGAACGAACCUUCGGGUUAGUGGCGGACGGGUGAGUAACGCGUGAGAAUCUGCCCUCAGGAGGGGGAUAACAGUUGGAAACGACUGCUAAUACCCCAUAUGCCGAGAGGUGAAAUGAAUUUCGCCUGGGGAUGAGCUCGCGUCUGAUUAGCUUGUUGGUGGGGUAAUAGCCUACCAAGGCUUCGAUCAGUAGCUGGUCUGAGAGGACGAUCAGCCACACUGGGACUGAGACACGGCCCAGACUCCUACGGGAGGCAGCAGUGGGGAAUUUUCCGCAAUGGGCGAAAGCCUGACGGAGCAACGCCGCGUGAGGGAUGGAGGCCUUUGGGCUGUAAACCUCUUUUCUCAAGGAAGAAGAUCUGACGGUACUUGAGGAAUAAGCCACGGCUAAUUCCGUGCCAGCAGCCGCGGUAAUACGGGAGUGGCAAGCGUUAUCCGGAAUUAUCGGGCGUAAAGCGUCCGCAGGCGGCCGUUUAAGUCUGUUGUUAAAUCGUGGAGCUCAACUCCAUCACGGCAAUGGAAACUGUUCGGCUUGAGUAUGGUAGGGGCAGAGGGAAUUUCCGGUGUAGCGGUGAAAUGCGUAGAUAUCGGGAAGAACACCAGUGGCGAAAGCGCUCUGCUGGGCCAUUACUGACGCUCAUGGACGAAAGCCAGGGGAGCGAAAGGGAUUAGAUACCCCUGUAGUCCUGGCCGUAAACGAUGAACACUAGAUGUUGGGGGAAUCGACCCCCUCGGUGUCGUAGCUAACGCGUUAAGUGUUCCGCCUGGGGAGUACGCACGCAAGUGUGAAACUCAAAGGAAUUGACGGGGGCCCGCACAAGCGGUGGAGUAUGUGGUUUAAUUCGAUGCAACGCGAAGAACCUUACCAAGGCUUGACAUCCUGCGAAUCUCUAAGAAAUUAGAGAGCGCCUUCGGGAACGCAGUGACAGGUGGUGCAUGGCUGUCGUCAGCUCGUGUCGUGAGAUGUUGGGUUAAGUCCCGCAACGAGCGCAACCCACGUUUUUAGUUGCCAGCAUUCAGUUGGGCACUCUAGAAAGACUGCCGGUGACAAACCGGAGGAAGGUGUGGACGACGUCAAGUCAUCAUGCCCCUUACGCCUUGGGCUACACACGUACUACAAUGCUGCGGACAAAGAGUAGCGAUCUUGCGAAAGUUAGCUAAUCUCACAAACCGUGGCUCAGUUCAGAUCGUAGGCUGCAACUCGCCUACGUGAAGGAGGAAUCGCUAGUAAUCGCAGGUCAGCAUACUGCGGUGAAUACGUUCCCGGGCCUUGUACACACCGCCCGUCACACCAUGGAAGUUGGCCAUGCCCGAAGUCGUUACUCUAACCUUUUGGAAGAGGGCGCCGAAGGCAGGGCUAAUGACUGGGGUGAAGUCGUAACAAGGUAACC
This 1445-nucleotide ribosomal RNA is filed under the name uncultured bacterium. RNAcentral's name for it is "bacterial SSU rRNA". It matches the Rfam family "Bacterial small subunit ribosomal RNA". The record is from RNAcentral.